Molecule: long non-coding RNA, 202 nt
Filed under: Lathyrus oleraceus (garden pea)
Lineage: Eukaryota; Viridiplantae; Streptophyta; Magnoliopsida; Fabales; Fabaceae
Description: Pisum sativum (pea) long non-coding RNA (PSAT_LNC004037)
Source: RNAcentral
AAGAAACUAAUAAAAAAAAAUUGAAAGAAAAAUGAAACACAGUAAGGAAGAAAAAAAAAACUCUCUCGUUGUCCUCAACCAAACUCGCCCUCACUCGCUACGAUUCUCCUUCCUCAUCGCUCCCUCAAACCUCAAGAUUUUUCUCUCUCUCUCUCUCAAACGCUAUCCCUCAACCUUUACUCUCUCUCUACUUGAGACAUUC